This 982-nucleotide long non-coding RNA is filed under the name Equus caballus (horse). RNAcentral describes it as "lncRNA (ENSECAG00000053827.1)". Lineage: Eukaryota; Metazoa; Chordata; Mammalia; Perissodactyla; Equidae. The record is from RNAcentral.
CUAACAGAUGCUGUCCAUCCCUACCUCACACCUAGGAGAACAACUAAGUGCUCUCCUCAAAGCUCAGGAUACGAUACAACAAGGCCAGACUGGCGCCAACAGACAAAGGACCUUAGUAACUCCACUCAAGGAUUUUGCCAGAAGUUAUCAGCGCAACCUCUCCAGAGACCCUCGAAAGGCCUUGAGGAGCAUGGCGUACGGGAGGAUGUUCCUGCGGUUCUGCCCUGCAUGGACAGAUCACCUGCUUCAGCAAUGUCAUCACCUGCCUGAUUUCAAAUAUUACUGCUUCUUGAACAUUUUUUGUUGCUAGGCCGGUAUCAGCCUGAUGCCAAUUAGUUAUCAGGCUGGUACUGUGGAUGGUCCAACCACACGUGGUCUUGCCCCACACAUUAUACACCGUGCACUUGACCGCUCUACUACCUUGUGAAGAAACAGCUUGUAGAGGCCAAUUAAUUUCCUCAGCACCUACCUUACCUGGUUCCUGCUCUCUCCUUCCACACUGGAAUGAGGCCCCCAGAUGCCUGGCACUCAAGCACCCCUGCUACCACUGAAAUUGAAAAAUACGAUAUUGACCACCAUAGAGCUCCAUUCAGAGAUGGUAAUUGAUAUUAGGAAACAGCCUGUCAUUCCCCUGCAGGAUAUUUCAAUACUAGAUAGAGACUGGAUUCCUGAACUUGACAGAAAGGUACACCUUUCUUAGAAAACUGAAAAUGAAAGGUGAAAAGUGAUGAAGUAAAAAUGGAUAACUUCUACAUAUAUAUACCUAUGAAAUAUAUACACAUAUACCUAAUGGUAUCGAUACACCCAGUUAUAAUUUAAAAAGCACACUUUAAGGUCAACAGUAAGGAGAAAGAAUAGUAAACUCAUGAUAUUUCUCUUAGUUUCCCAAGCUAACUUUUGAGUAAGCUGUUAUGUCAUGAUUUGGGCCAGAACUGUCUAUUGUAUAUAAAACUUAAGAUUUCAAAACAAAGAGCCAGGUUCA